UUUUUUUUUUAGGGUUUUUGAUCUGCUCAGGAUGUACGCUGGGCCGCGUGCCUAAUACAUGCAAGUCGAACGAGUUCUGAUUAUUGAAAGGUGCUUGCAUCUUGAUUUAAUUUUGAACGAGUGGCGGACGGGUGAGUAACACGUGGGUAACCUGCCCUUAAGUGGGGGAUAACAUUUGGAAACAGAUGCUAAUACCGCAUAAAUCCAAGAACCGCAUGGUUCUUGGCUGAAAGAUGGCGUAAGCUAUCGCUUUUGGAUGGACCCGCGGCGUAUUAGCUAGUUGGUGAGGUAACGGCUCACCAAGGCAAUGAUACGUAGCCGAACUGAGAGGUUGAUCGGCCACAUUGGGACUGAGACACGGCCCAAACUCCUACGGGAGGCAGCAGUAGGGAAUCUUCCACAAUGGACGCAAGUCUGAUGGAGCAACGCCGCGUGAGUGAAGAAGGCUUUCGGGUCGUAAAACUCUGUUGUUGGAGAAGAAUGGUCGGCAGAGUAACUGUUGUCGGCGUGACGGUAUCCAACCAGAAAGCCACGGCUAACUACGUGCCAGCAGCCGCGGUAAUACGUAGGUGGCAAGCGUUAUCCGGAUUUAUUGGGCGUAAAGCGAGCGCAGGCGGUUUUUUAAGUCUGAUGUGAAAGCCCUCGGCUUAACCGACGGAAGUGCAUCCGGAAACUGGGAAACUUGACUGCACAAGAGGACACGGAAAACUCCAUGUGUAGCGGUGAAAUGCGUAGAUAUAUGGAAGAACACCAGUGGCGAAGGCGGCUGUCUGGUCUGUAACUGACGCUGAGGCUCGAAAGCAUGGGUAGCGAACAGGAUUAGAUACCCUGGUAGUCCAUGCCGUAAACGAUGAAUGCUAGGUGUUGGAGGGUUUCCGCCCUUCAGUGCCGCAGCUAACGCAUUAAGCAUUCCGCCUGGGGAGUACGACCGCAAGGUUGAAACUCAAAGGAAUUGACGGGGGCCCGCACAAGCGGUGGAGCAUGUGGUUUAAUUCGAAGCAACGCGAAGAACCUUACCAGGUCUUGACAUCUUUUGAUCACCUGAGAGAUCAGGUUUCCCCUUCGGGGGCAAAAUGACAGGUGGUGCAUGGUUGUCGUCAGCUCGUGUCGUGAGAUGUUGGGUUAAGUCCCGCAACGAGCGCAACCCUUAUGACUAGUUGCCAGCAUUUAGUUGGGCACUCUAGUAAGACUGCCGGUGACAAACCGGAGGAAGGUGGGGAUGACGUCAAAUCAUCAUGCCCCUUAUGACCUGGGCUACACACGUGCUACAAUGGAUGGUACAACGAGUUGCGAGACCGCGAGGUCAAGCUAAUCUCUUAGAGCCAUUCUCAGUUCGGACUGUAGGCUGCAACUCGCCUACACGAAGUCGGAAUCGCUAGUAAUCGCGGAUCAGCACGCCGCGGUGAAUAACGUUCCCGGGCCUUGUAACACACCGCCGUCACACCAUGAGAGUUUGUCAACACCGAAGCCGGUGGCGUAACCCCUGUAGAGAGCGAGCCGUCUAAUGUGGAACAAUGAUUAGGUGAAGCGUACAGGAGGAACCCGUAAAAGAGGGUUUUGUGGUGUG
Molecule: ribosomal RNA, 1567 nt
Filed under: Lacticaseibacillus rhamnosus
Lineage: Bacteria; Bacillati; Bacillota; Bacilli; Lactobacillales; Lactobacillaceae
Description: bacterial SSU rRNA
Rfam family: Bacterial small subunit ribosomal RNA
Source: RNAcentral